UCAGGAUGAACGCUAGCUACAGGCUUAACACAUGCAAGUCGCAGGGUAACAUGAGGAAAGCUUGCUUUCCUUGAUGACGACUGGCGCACGGGUGAGUAACGCGUAUCCAACCUUCCCAUAACUACGGGAUAACCCGUUGAAAGACGGCCUAAUACCGUAUGAUAUCGUUUGCUGACAUCAAAUAACGAUUAAAGGUUUAGCGGUUAUGGAUGGGGAUGCGUCUGAUUAGCUUGUUGGCGGGGUAACGGCCCACCAAGGCGACGAUCAGUAGGGGUUCUGAGAGGAAGGUCCCCCACAUUGGAACUGAGACACGGUCCAAACUCCUACGGGAGGCAGCAGUGAGGAAUAUUGGUCAAUGGGCGAGAGCCUGAACCAGCCAAGUAGCGUGCAGGAUGACGGCCCUAUGGGUUGUAAACUGCUUUUAUGUGGGGAUAAAGUGCGUGACGUGUCGUGCAUUGCAGGUACCACAUGAAUAAG
Molecule: ribosomal RNA, 477 nt
Filed under: uncultured bacterium
Lineage: Bacteria
Description: bacterial SSU rRNA
Rfam family: Bacterial small subunit ribosomal RNA
Source: RNAcentral